RNAcentral lists this ribosomal RNA (495 nucleotides) under uncultured bacterium. RNAcentral describes it as "bacterial SSU rRNA". It matches the Rfam family "Bacterial small subunit ribosomal RNA", at positions 903 to 1397 of the family's 1533-position model. The record is from RNAcentral.
AAAUGAAUUGACGGGGACCCGCACAAGCAGCGGAGCAUGUGGUUUAAUUCGAAGCAACGCGAAGAACCUUACCAAGGUUUGACAUCGUCUGACCGCCAUAGAGAUAUGGUUUCCUUAGCAAUAAGGCAGGCAGACAGGUGGUGCAUGGUUGUCGUCAGCUCGUGUCGUGAGAUGUUGGGUUAAGUCCCGCAACGAGCGCAACCCCUAUGAAUAGUUGCCAAUAUUAAGUUAGGAACUCUAUUCAGACUGCCGUGGACAACACGGAGGAAGGUGGGGAUGACGUCAAAUCAUCACGCCCCUUACAUCUUGGGCUACACACGUGCUACAAUGGCCGGAACAAAGAGCUGCCAAGCAGUAAUGCCGAGCGAAUCUCAUAAAACCGGUCUCAGUUCAGAUUGUGGGCUGCAACCCGCCCACAUGAAGUCGGAGUUGCUAGUAAUCGCGAAUCAGCACGUCGCGGUGAAUGCGUUCCCGGGUCUUGUACACACCGCCCGU